UAACAUUGGUUGCUUGUCUUAAGUUCUAAAUUUUCUUUAGUGAUAAAAUCCUUAUCCUUAUCCUUAAGGCUUAUUGUCUUAUAUUCAUCCAUUAAUUCAUUAAACGCAUCAUAUAACUCAUCAAAGGUAAAAUCUAAAUGCGUUUCAGAUGUUACCUCAUUUUCGUUUGCCAUAAAGCAUAGAUUGGCCUUUUCUUCUUGUUCCUCAUCCGAUGAUGAUGAUGUAUCGGAGUCC
RNAcentral lists this long non-coding RNA (234 nucleotides) under Phoenix dactylifera (date palm). RNAcentral describes it as "long non-coding RNA (PDAC_LNC003174)". Lineage: Eukaryota; Viridiplantae; Streptophyta; Magnoliopsida; Arecales; Arecaceae. The record is from RNAcentral.